GAUGAACGCUGGCGGCGUGCCUAAUACAUGCAAGUCGAGCGAACGGAUGAGAAGCUUGCUCCUCUGAGGUUAGCGGCGGACGGGGGAGUAACACGUGGAUAACCUACCUAUAAGACUGGGAUAACUUCGGGAAACCGGAGCUAAUACCGGAUAAUAUUUUGAACCGCAGGGUUCAAAAGUGAAAGACGUUUUUGCGGUCACUUAUAGAUGGAUCCGCGCUGCAUUAGCUAGUUGGUAAGGUAACGGCUUACCAAGGCAACGAUGCGUAGCCGACCUGAGAGGGUGAUCGGCCACACUGGAACUGAGACACGGUCCAGACUCCUACGGGAGGCAGCAGUAGGGAAUCUUCCGCAAUGGGCGAAAGCCUGACGGAGCAACGCCGCGUGAGUGAUGAAGGUCUUCGGAUCGUAAAACUCUGUUAUUAGGGAAGAACAUAUGUGUAAGUAACUGUGCACAUCUUGACGGUACCUAAUCAGAAAGCCACGGCUAACUACGUG
RNAcentral lists this ribosomal RNA (497 nucleotides) under uncultured bacterium. RNAcentral describes it as "partial 16S ribosomal RNA". It matches the Rfam family "Bacterial small subunit ribosomal RNA", at positions 28 to 507 of the family's 1533-position model. The record is from RNAcentral.